GGGGAUGAUUUGGGUUCGACAAUUGUAAAAGGGCUUAAAUUGCAAGUAGAUGGCAAUCUUUAAAUGCAAAAUUAAAUAUAACUGGAAACAGAAAUCAAUUAGCUUUCGCAUAAUUAAUUAAUUGAAAGCGCUUCUUUUAUUUUUUUGCCUACGGAAAAUAUAAGAGGCUCAUUUUAGUAGGAUAUAUUAUAAGUUCACUUACGGCUUAUAAUGAAUUUUAGUAAGUUAGUUAUUUAAUUAGGAGGGGAAUUCCCAUUUAAAUAAUGAAUUGUUUGAAUUUCCUAAACUUGUAGAUGUUUAAGUUUGAUUACUCUUGGACAGGGGUUCAAUUCCCCUCAUCUCCACCA
RNAcentral lists this transfer-messenger RNA (347 nucleotides) under pig gut metagenome. It matches the Rfam family "transfer-messenger RNA". Rfam says of the family: Bacterial tmRNA, also known as 10Sa RNA or SsrA, is named for its dual tRNA and mRNA-like properties. The record is from RNAcentral.